AACCUGCGGAAGGAUCAUUAAUGAUUACGAACGGUUGCCUUCAGUGCUGGCCAGAACUGGUAAGUGCACGUUGGUGACUUUCAUCCAAUCUCCUGUGCACCUUUGGCCUCUUGCUAGCUUCGGCCGGCAGAGGAAUUUACACACACUCGAAUGUAAUGAAAUAUAUUGUCGUGCGCAAGCACUAAUGUACAACUUUCAACAACGGAUCUCUUGGCUCUCGCAUCGAUGAAGAACGCAGCGAAAUGCGAUAAGUAAUGUGAAUUGCAGAAUUCAGUGAAUCAUCGAAUCUUUGAACGCACCUUGCACCCUUUGGCAUUCCGAAGGGUAUGCUCGUUUGAGUGUCAUUGUACUCUCACACUCCCGAUCUUUGGGUCGGGAGCGGUGGACUUGGGUGUUGCUGCUUACCGUGGCUCACCUCAAAUGGAUUAGUGCACCUCUUGGUUGGACAUAGUACGGCGUGAUAAGUGUCUUCGCCGGCACCUCACUAGAGGGUGGCCGAUCGGGAGCUCUGUGCUUCAAACCGUCCUCGGACAACAACUGACAACUUGACCUCAAAUCGAGUAGGACUACCCGCUGAACUUAAGCAUAUCAAUAAGCGGAGGAAAAGAAACUAACAAGGAUUCCCCUAGUAACGGCGAGUGAAGAGGGAAGAGCUCAAAUUUUGAAUCUGGCGUCUUUGGCGUCCGA
RNAcentral lists this ribosomal RNA (687 nucleotides) under uncultured fungus. RNAcentral describes it as "eukaryotic LSU rRNA". The stretch from base 191 to 344 matches the Rfam family "5.8S ribosomal RNA". Lineage: Eukaryota; Fungi. The record is from RNAcentral.